UACGUAGGGUCCGAGCGUUGUCCGGAAUUAUUGGGCGUAAAGAGCUCGUAGGCGGUCUGUCGCGUCGGCUGUGAAAACUCAGGGCUCAACCCUGAGCCUGCAGUCGAUACGGGCAGACUAGAGUUCGGUAGGGGAGACUGGAAUUCCUGGUGUAGCGGUGAAAUGCGCAGAUAUCAGGAGGAACACCAAUGGCGAAGGCAGAUCUCUGGGCCGUAACUGACGCUGAGGAGCGAAAGCAUGGGGAGCGAACAGG
Molecule: ribosomal RNA, 253 nt
Filed under: uncultured bacterium
Lineage: Bacteria
Description: partial 16S ribosomal RNA
Rfam family: Bacterial small subunit ribosomal RNA
Source: RNAcentral